Long non-coding RNA from Malania oleifera, 3829 nucleotides. RefSeq lists it as uncharacterized. The transcript is spliced from 2 exons. The record is from RefSeq and is a predicted model, not a curated record. Lineage: Eukaryota; Viridiplantae; Streptophyta; Magnoliopsida; Santalales; Ximeniaceae.
AGUCCAUCUCCAACUCCCAACUCCAACAUUACAAACGUCGUACGGCGGCUGUCAGCGCUGCCACAAGCCACAAUCGUUUUUGUGAAAGAUUUCUGGAGUGGAAGGGAAGGUUUUUCUGUGGGAGAUUGCGGAGACUACAAGGUUGUAUUUUUUGUUUCCUGUAUAUUUUAUGUUUUUCCUCUGAUGUCUUGGCUUUCCAAGAGGGCGAUCUCCUCUGCAUCUCAUUUGCUCCAUUAUUUUAGGUAUAUUCCUCUGCUGUUUACUUUGAAAAUGCGUUGAGGUUGUUUUUGAAAGUAUGUAUUUGGAUGUGUUUACUGUGUUUUGUGAAUUCACGCAAGUCCAAAUCUAUGUUUAGUGGGUGCGUUCUGAAUUUUAUUUUUAAGGUCUGUUUCCUGUUCAGUAUCUUAGUUUUUAUUGAAGCUAUGGCAAAAAAGACAUUUAAUACUGAUGAUUAAAUACUAGUUUCUUUAUUUUUAGGAGUUAUGAAGGGUCUACUUUUUUAAUUUCGUAGAGAUACUUACAUUUUUUCAUGCCAAAUGGACCCCAUAAUUUUUUUUUUGAAAUAUAUUUUUUGGGUUAUAAUCUGUGGUUGGGUGGUGUUGUCUUUGAACUAUAUUGUGAAAUUUCUUUGUGGCUGCAUUUGGAUGGAUUUGAAUAAAAUUCAAUACAAUUUUGUAUUAUAUCUGGUCCAAAUCCACUUAAAUCCAAAUUCAAGACUUUUCUCAAACAUAUGGUUCAUGUUUUCUUAAUGUUAUGCACCAGACAGCCCCCUGCUUCUCUGAGUUUGGUUGCAGGGAAACGACGAGAAAGUGGUAUUGUGGUGCUAUAGUGACACUUUGGCAAAAUCAUUCAUUUGCAGUGCUAUGGGCGAGUCUAUCUUGGGCACAUUUGCUUUUGCCAAAAUAAUGCUGUUUUUGCUUGUAUGAAGGCUAUGCUAGAAGCUUCUUUGAAAACAUGCCUAGGUUCAUACAAAUAACUGUAAGUGCAUUUUACUUCAUUUUAAAAGGAAACAUAUGCCAUAUGUUGUUCGACUUGUUUGAUAGGAAUGUUAGUUACCUUUGAUUCAGAACCCUAAUUCUGAAAUCAAUCAUAUCUGCACUGUUGUUCAUAAUUGAUAUGUUGAUUAUGUUCUUCUUUUCAAGUUUCCUUGAUCGAAGCUGAUCAGCCUGGAAGCAAAGUAAAAUGAUGAGGUUUCUUGUAUCUGAAUUUUGAUGUGGAAUCUCAUGUCCCAAUGGUCUUCAAAGUUCUCUGAUUACUUUGCUCCACUUUGUGCUUGGUAUUGUAACCUGUAGUAUUUUUUUUUGUGGAUCAUGGAAGAGUGGAAUAGAAUAAAACUUGUCACUUCCACAUUUGCUUAUUAUUUCAUUUAUUUGUUCAUUUUUUUUCUAUUUCAUUCCAUUAUGCUCCCAUCUCAUUCCAUUCCAUAUGAGAUAAUAGUUGUAGCUAUAAAUGCGAAGACUUCAUCUUGUUGCAGCUUCCAACCUGAUGGCAAGCUAAAAUUUUAUGCCUCAGCUGUUCAUCAAAGUUGUCAUUGGUUGAUUUGGUAAGCAUAGAAUUAUAUCUAAUGUGCAUGCACCUAGAUUGGCUUUGUAUUAUAUCGACUGCCCUAGCAUGUGUGGCCUCUUCUGAUUAUAAUUUUUGUGUUCUGCCAGCAAUAUUAGCACCAAAAUUCAUAGUCUGACAAGCACUUACCUUUCAGGCUAUACGAGCAUGGUGCAAUAUAGAACUUCUCUUCGUUCACUUUUGCUUGACUUUUUCCUUUUAAGAUGUCAAGACCAUCAAGAACUAAGAAGACAGUUUGAUAUCGUUACUCAGUGUAGAUCCUUGAAUUGUUUUUCAGCAUUCACCAUAAAUUUGGUGGGUGGGAAUCUAACAGAAUUUAGAUUAAGAGCAAAAUUAUUAUUCAAUUUCAGCAUAAUUGCUUUUGUGGAACUGUGGGCUAUUGUGAUUUUGCUUUGUUAUUUUGCUUUUCUAUCUUCUUCUUCCUUCAUUUUAAGCUAAUUUUAUGUGGCUGGUUAACCUCUUAAGAGUUUCUUCUCAGGAGAUCUCAGUUUAUAAAAUAUUUGAAAAGUCAUUUUUGAAAAAAAGGAAACUUCCCUGUCUUUUGUGCAAGUUGGUUUGCUGCAUUUUUAUUUUUAUUUUUUAUUUUGCAUCAUUUUAAUCUAUUAUAUUAUGUACAUUUUGUGAAUUGUGAAAUGUAUACUAGCAGUGUUUUGAUCUACAUUUUUUAUUAUUUUUUAGAUUUGUGGGUAUUGUAUUUUAGAUUUUUAUUUCUUUGAAUUAUGUAUCAAGUUUAUUUCCAAGUCAUAAAAAAUUAUAUUCAGUAUUUUAUUUCCAAUUCACAAAAAGUCAAAUUUAAUUCACAAACUGUGUGAUAUAAUGUCUGAAAAAUUAAGAACUAAGAUGUCUGUAUUUUUGGUAAUUAUUUUGACAUUUAGAAAUUAAAAAGAAAAAAAUAUUUUGCAUGACAAAGUUAAUAGUUUAUAUUUUUUUACCUCUUUUUUUAAUAUAAAUUUUCGAAAUGUUAUAAGUAACUUAAUUUUUAAAUUUUAAAAAAUAAAAUGUUUUUCACAAUUAAGUGGGUACCUGUAUUUAAUAGAAUGAUUUGAUAAAAAAUGAAACCGUGGGAAUGAACAAGACAUUGUGUUUGACUUUCUUUUUUAGAUUCUCUAUAAGGAAUCAUUUAGAGAAUAAUACUUUGUUAAAAAUAUAUGCAUCGAAUGAAAGUAGUUUGGAAUUACUUACCCAUUUAACUAGUCAUUAGUUAAUAAAUACCCUAAGAUACUCCUUAUCAAGACUCGAAUUCUAUAUAGAUGACUAUGUACAAGUCUUAUAAUUUUGAUAAAACUUUAAAUAAUAAAAUUAGUGCAAGCAUAUCUCUUUUCCUUAUUAAAAAUUAAAUUUUACGGAGUCCUUCAAUUUGAAUAAAAUAUAAUAAAAAAUUAUAUUAAAAUUUUUUCAAAUUUAAAGCUUAAAAUUCAUGUUUCCAAAAAUAGUAUAAAUGCAUUUCAUUUUAUCAGGAUGAAAAUGCAGUUUCAACUAUGACGGUUAAGGCAAAAUUUUAAGAGCUUCAUGAAUGCAAAGGUGCAAUGAUUGGGAAGGAAGAUUUAGGAAAUAUUAGCACUUAAUAAUGUGAUACAUCUAUUAAUAAUUGUAUCUUAUUUAUCAUUCAUUUAUCGAAAGUUUUGUUAGGUGCCCUUGCCAGUUGUUUUCUUCUAUGCUGAUACAUGUAGGUGAAUCUUGCUUUCUUCUUUGAAUUUUUCUAAGGAAAAAAUUAUGAAAAGAAGUGUUUUGUUAUGAAAUAUUGGUGGAUGGCAUGUCAACUAUGAAUCUGCCUCAUAUAUUGAAUCUGUUUCAUAUGUCUGUACUAAUUAUGUUUCUAUGUGAACUUGUUCUAAUGUUUGUACUAAAAAAGUUAGCAUUAGUUAGCUUGUGAAGGCUAUAAAUACCACCUCCUCCCAUAGCCAGUGCAAGAAAGAAAAGUGGAGUAGAUAAAGAGAAGAGAGAUAUCUUGUACAAGAUUGGUUCCAAAUCAUCUUAUAAAUUUACCCGUGAUAGUGAAGUUUUUGAUUUCAUCCGCUCGUGAAGUAGAUAUAGUCGAACGACGUAAAUUUCUGUCUCGUCUUAUUUAAUUUUUUAUAUCUUUUAUAACAUGUUUUAAGUUUUGAUAAUGUUAUUAUGUUUUAUAUUGCCAAAUUAUAGCAUUAUUUCUAUAUAAUUGGAUGUUUUAUAGACAAUGAAAGAUUGUUUUGAUCUUUUCUAAGUCGAAUGCCGAUUGUAAUAUGAUAUAACUCCCUCUCUUUCUCCAUAAAAAUGGUGUUAUUAUUUC